GAUGAACGCUAGCUACAGGCUUAACACAUGCAAGUCGAGGGGCAGUCAGGAUCUGUGCUUGCACAGAUUGCUGGCGACCGGCGCACGGGUGAGUAACGCGUAUCCAACUUCCCCAUAGUAGAGGAUAGCCCGGUGAAAAUCGGAUUAAUACUCUAUGUUGUAUAACGAGGACAUCUGAAUUAUACCAAAGGUUUACCGCUAUGGGAUGGGGAUGCGUCUGAUUAGGUUGUUGGCGGGGUAACGGCCCACCAAGCCAUCGAUCAGUAGGGGUUCUGAGAGGAAGGUCCCCACAUUGGAACUGAGACACGGUCCAAACUCCUACGGGAGGCAGCAGUGAGGAAUAUUGGUCAAUGGGCGAGAGCCUGAACCAGCCAAGUAGCGUGCAGGAUGACGGCCCUAUGGGUUGUAAACUGCUUUUAUGCGGGGAUAAAGUGCAGCACGUGUGCUGUUUUGUAGGUACCGCAUGAAUAAGGACCGGCUAAUUCCGUGCC
This 491-nucleotide ribosomal RNA is filed under the name uncultured bacterium. RNAcentral's name for it is "bacterial SSU rRNA". It matches the Rfam family "Bacterial small subunit ribosomal RNA", at positions 28 to 509 of the family's 1533-position model. The record is from RNAcentral.